CUCUGGAUCAGUGGCGAACGGGUGAGUAACACGUGAGUAACCUGCCCUUGACUCUGGGAUAAGCGUUGGAAACGACGUCUAAUACCGGAUACGACGACCGAUGGCAUCAUCUGGUUGUGGAAAGAAUUUCGGUCAAGGAUGGACUCGCGGCCUAUCAGCUAGUUGGUGAGGUAAUGGCCCACCAAGGCGACGACGGGUAGCCGGCCUGAGAGGGUGACCGGCCACACUGGGACUGAGACACGGCCCAGACUCCUACGGGAGGCAGCAGUGGGGAAUAUUGCACAAUGGGCGCAAGCCUGAUGCAGCAACGCCGCGUGAGGGAUGACGGCCUUCGGGUUGUAAACCUCUUUUAGUAGGGAAGAAGCGAAAGUGACGGUACCUGCAGAAAAAGCACCGGCUAACUACGUGCCAGCAGCCGCGGUAAUACGUAGGGUGCAAGCGUUGUCCGGAAUUAUUGGGCGUAAAGAGCUCGUAGGCGGUUUGUCGCGUCUGCUGUGAAAACUGGAGGCUCAACCUCCAGCCUGCAGUGGGUACGGGCAGACUAGAGUGCGGUAGGGGAGAUUGGAAUUCCUGGUGUAGCGGUGGAAUGCGCAGAUAUCAGGAGGAACACCGAUGGCGAAGGCAGAUCUCUGGGGGCCGUAACUGACGCUGAGGAGCGAAAGCGUGGGGAGCGAACGGAUACCAUCCCCUGGUAGUCCACGCCGUAAACGUUGGGAACUAGAUGUGGGGACCAUUCCACGGUCUCCGUGUCGCAGCUAACGCAUUAAGUUCCCCGCCUGGGGAGUACGGCCGCAAGGCUAAACUGAAAGGAAUUGACGGGGGCCCGCACAAGCGGCGGAGCAUGCGGAUUGCGGCGGAGCAUGCGGAUUAAUUCGAUGCAACGCGAAGAACCUUACCAAGGCUUGACAUAUACGAGAACGGGCCAGAAAUGGUCAACUCUUUGGACACUCGUAAACAGGUGGUGCAUGGUUGUCGUCAGCUCGUGUCGUGAGAUGUUGGGUUAAGUCCCGCAACGAGCGCAACCCUCGUUCUAUGUUGCCAGCACGUAAUGGUGGGAACUCAUAGGAGACUGCCGGGGUCAACUCGGAGGAAGGUGGGGAUGACGUCAAAUCAUCAUGCCCCUUAUGUCUUGGGCUUCACGCAUGCUACAAUGGCCGGUACAAAGGGCUGCAAUACCGUAAGGUGGAGCGAAUCCCAAAAAGCCGGUCUCAGUUCGGAUUGAGGUCUGCAACUCGACCUCAUGAAGUCGGAGUCGCUAGUAAUCGUGGAUCAGCAACGCCACGGUGAAUACGUUCCCGGGCCUUGUACACACCGCCCGUCAAGUCAUGAAAGUCGGUAACACCCGAAGCCGG
Molecule: ribosomal RNA, 1352 nt
Filed under: Herbiconiux sp.
Lineage: Bacteria; Bacillati; Actinomycetota; Actinomycetes; Micrococcales; Microbacteriaceae
Description: bacterial SSU rRNA
Rfam family: Bacterial small subunit ribosomal RNA
Source: RNAcentral